CACGUAGGUUCCGAGCGUUAUCCGGAUUUACUGGGCGUAAAGCGCGUUCAGGCGGUUUGGCAAGUCGGGCAUGAAAUCUCUCGGCUCAACCGGGAGAGGUUGUCCGAUACUUCCAGACUUGAGGGCAGUAGAGGGUGGUGGAAUUCCGGGUGUAGUGGUGAAAUGCGUAGAUAUCCGGAGGAACACCAGUGGCGAAAGCGGCCACCUGGACUGCACCUGACGCUGACACGCGAAAGCUAGGGGAGCGAACGGG
This 253-nucleotide ribosomal RNA is filed under the name uncultured bacterium. RNAcentral's name for it is "partial 16S ribosomal RNA". It matches the Rfam family "Bacterial small subunit ribosomal RNA", at positions 524 to 776 of the family's 1533-position model. The record is from RNAcentral.